AGAUGUUCUACAGUUCUCGAAAGGAAGCAACACACAGAAGAUAUCUUGCAAGAUGAAAAUAUUUCAAACAAUUUUAGCAAUUUCCUGCAUUAUUGCCAUGGCUAUGGCAGCUCCUGGAAAUAAUGAAAUUGGAGGCAAAAAUAAUCAGGGAAAUACACAGCAAAAUGGAGACUUUAAGUUAAAUUUAUUGGGCUAAUUUUUAGAUUUUAAAUUAAAUUAAAAAUGUUAAUAAAUCUAUAUAUAUAAAAUACAAAAAA
Molecule: long non-coding RNA, 257 nt
Organism: Calliphora vicina (urban bluebottle blowfly)
Lineage: Eukaryota; Metazoa; Arthropoda; Insecta; Diptera; Calliphoridae
Exons: 2
Source: RefSeq, a predicted model, not a curated record